Molecule: ribosomal RNA, 469 nt
Filed under: Streptomyces sp. DOSMB A107
Lineage: Bacteria; Bacillati; Actinomycetota; Actinomycetes; Kitasatosporales; Streptomycetaceae
Description: bacterial SSU rRNA
Rfam family: Bacterial small subunit ribosomal RNA
Source: RNAcentral
AGGGAUGACGGCCUUCGGGUUGUAAAACCUCUUUCAGCAGGGAAGAAGCGAAAGUGACGGUACCUGCAGAAGAAGCGCCGGCUAACUACGUGCCAGCAGCCGCGGUAAUACGUAGGGCGCAAGCGUUGUCCGGAAUUAUUGGGCGUAAAGAGCUCGUAGGCGGCUUGUCACGUCGGUUGUGAAAGCCCGGGGCUUAACCCCGGGUCUGCAGUCGAUACGGGCAGGCUAGAGUUCGGUAGGGGAGAUCGGAAUUCCUGGUGUAGCGGUGAAAUGCGCAGAUAUCAGGAGGAACACCGGUGGCGAAGGCGGAUCUCUGGGCCGAUACUGACGCUGAGGAGCGAAAGCGUGGGGAGCGAACAGGAUUAGAUACCCUGGUAGUCCACGCCGUAAACGGUGGGCACUAGGUGUGGGCAACAUUCCACGUUGUCCGUGCCGCAGCUAACGCAUUAAGUGCCCCGCCUGGGGAGUA